Molecule: ribosomal RNA, 491 nt
Filed under: uncultured bacterium
Lineage: Bacteria
Description: bacterial SSU rRNA
Rfam family: Bacterial small subunit ribosomal RNA
Source: RNAcentral
GAUGAACGCUAGCGGGAGGCCUAACACAUGCAAGCUGAGCGGUAUUUGUCUUUCGGGACAGAGAGAGCGGCGUACGGGUGCGUAACACGUGUGCAACCUGCCUUUAUCAGGAGGAUAGCCUUUCGAAAGGAAGAUUAAUACUCCAUAAUAUAUUAAUUGGCAUCAAUUGAUAUUGAAAACUCCGGUGGAUAAAGAUGGGCACGCGCAAGAUUAGAUAGUUGGUGAGGUAACGGCUCACCAAGUCGAUGAUCUUUAGGGGGCCUGAGAGGUGAUCCCCCACACUGGUACUGAGACACGGACCAGACUCCUACGGGAGGCAGCAGUGAGGAAUAUUGGACAAUGGGUUAGCGCCUGAUCCAGCCAUCCCGCGUGAAGGAUUAAGGACCUAUGGUUUGUAAACUUCUUUUGUACAGGGAUAAACCUACCUCGUGAGGGUAGCUGAAGGUACUGUACGAAUAAGCACCGGCUAACUCCGUGCCAGCAGCCGCGGU